Non-coding RNA from Styela clava, 992 nucleotides. The record is from RefSeq and is a predicted model, not a curated record. Lineage: Eukaryota; Metazoa; Chordata; Ascidiacea; Stolidobranchia; Styelidae.
ACAUUUAUCUGUUGUACUUUAUUAUUUUCGUGUACAUUAACUUGCGUAUGUCGUGAAUUCUGUUUGGGUAUUCAUUUAUCUACAGUGCAGAAAAUGUGAUAUGACGGUUUAAUCAUAUGGCGAACCACGGCCUCAGUCCGGUUACCAGUCCAUGUCGGGUAGUUGACCAGUUAUUCGUUUCAGAUGCGUUGACUUGGUGAAGGAAGAUGUAUCCGACGGUGGCGAGUAGUCCAACUAUCACAUGAUUAUCCUCUCUGGAUUUGGGCCCGCUUGUGUAAUCAGGUAAGAACGUGUUUCCAAUAAUAAGCACGAUGCGUCGACCGCGAGCUGACAGAGUUAGGGCUGAAGAACCUCCAGUCGGAGUUGAGGUGCGGUAUUAGUGAUUUUCACAUUUCGUACAGCGAAUCGGACUAAACAGCGGAAAGGAAGAAGGAAAAAAAUGAUCUUUGCUAUUGUUACAGCUGGCCGGUGAUCGCGACUGUUCAAUGAGAAUGAACAGCCUCAAAAACGAAGAAAUGGGGAAGAGAACCUGGUAUCUGGUCGUGCAGCGCACGUCGCGGUUGACGAGGACUCAAGAAAGAAAUAAAGAAACUGAUAUAAGGCAGUUGCUGAUUGUCGCGACUGAUGGACGUAAAUGAAAAGGCAUAUCAAGAAGAGUUGAAGCAGCUUUUUCGUUCCAUUGAAGGCAUUACGCAAGGUCGAAGUAAUGGAAGCCGCUAGGAAUCUGUUGUAGUUAGCUACAAUUAGUGAUUUAUAUUUUAAGGACCAUGAUUGUGCAGACAAGGGACGUGGAGGCGAAUCUUUGCCGCACUACAACAUUCAGAACAAUUUUACAAAAAUAACCUACACAGAAGAAAGAAUUGACUUAAUCUUCAAUACGGAAGAAGAACCGGUGCUUCAGAUUAAAGUGAUUUUUGUAUUUUUCAUUGUAUAUGUUUUCUUGUAUAUUCUUUUGAUUAACUGAAUCUCAUGUGGUCAACAGUCGCGUCAGG